RNAcentral lists this ribosomal RNA (553 nucleotides) under Candida tropicalis. RNAcentral's name for it is "eukaryotic LSU rRNA". It matches the Rfam family "Eukaryotic large subunit ribosomal RNA", at positions 88 to 657 of the family's 3401-position model. Lineage: Eukaryota; Fungi; Ascomycota; Pichiomycetes; Serinales; Debaryomycetaceae. The record is from RNAcentral.
GGCGAGUGAAGCGGCAAAAGCUCAAAUUUGAAAUCUGGCUCUUUCAGAGUCCGAGUUGUAAUUUGAAGAAGGUAUCUUUGGGUCUGGCUCUUGUCUAUGUUUCUUGGAACAGAACGUCACAGAGGGUGAGAAUCCCGUGCGAUGAGAUGAUCCAGGCCUAUGUAAAGUUCCUUCGAAGAGUCGAGUUGUUUGGGAAUGCAGCUCUAAGUGGGUGGUAAAUUCCAUCUAAAGCUAAAUAUUGGCGAGAGACCGAUAGCGAACAAGUACAGUGAUGGAAAGAUGAAAAGAACUUUGAAAAGAGAGUGAAAAAGUACGUGAAAUUGUUGAAAGGGAAGGGCUUGAGAUCAGACUUGGUAUUUUGUAUGUUACUUCUUCGGGGGUGGCCUCUACAGUUUAUCGGGCCAGCAUCAGUUUGGGCGGUAGGAGAAUUGCGUUGGAAUGUGGCACGGCUUCGGUUGUGUGUUAUAGCCUUCGUCGAUACUGCCAGCCUAGACUGAGGACUGCGGUUUAUACCUAGGAUGUUGGCAUAAUGAUCUUAAGUCGCCCGUCUUAA